CUGCCAGCAAGCGCGAGAUGUACGGGAUCAGCGGCAAGUUCAGGAUCAGCAGUACGAUGUUGCCGACGUACAUGGAGAUGAUCACCGACCAAAACACAUCCGGAUGGUCAACAAACAAGCGAGGAC
This 126-nucleotide non-coding RNA is filed under the name Vibrio vulnificus. Lineage: Bacteria; Pseudomonadati; Pseudomonadota; Gammaproteobacteria; Vibrionales; Vibrionaceae. The record is from RNAcentral.